Molecule: ribosomal RNA, 467 nt
Filed under: uncultured bacterium
Lineage: Bacteria
Description: partial 16S ribosomal RNA
Rfam family: Bacterial small subunit ribosomal RNA
Source: RNAcentral
GACGAACGCUGGCGGCGUGCUUAACACAUGCAAGUCGAACGGAAAGGCCCUGCUUUUGUGGGGUGCUCGAGUGGCGAACGGGUGAGUAACACGUGAGUAACCUGCCCUUGACUUUGGGAUAACUUCAGGAAACUGGGGCUAAUACCGGAUAGGAGCUCCUGCUGCAUGGUGGGGGUUGGAAAGUUUCGGCGGUUGGGGAUGGACUCGCGGCUUAUCAGCUUGUUGGUGGGGUAGUGGCUUACCAAGGCUUUGACGGGUAGCCGGCCUGAGAGGGUGACCGGCCAACUGGGGGAUGAGAUACGGCCCAGGCACCUCGGGGGGGGAGAGGGGGGGAAUAUUGCCAAAGGGGGGGAACCCUGAUGCAGCAACCCCGGGGGGGGGAAGACGGCCUUCGGGUGGUAAACCGCUUUCGCCUGUGACGAAGGGGGAGGGAGGGUAAUGGGUAAAGAAGCACCGGCUAACUACGG